This 274-nucleotide ribosomal RNA is filed under the name uncultured bacterium. RNAcentral describes it as "partial 16S ribosomal RNA". It matches the Rfam family "Bacterial small subunit ribosomal RNA", at positions 523 to 796 of the family's 1533-position model. The record is from RNAcentral.
AGACGGAGGGUGCAAGCGUUGUUCGGAAUCACUGGGCGUAAAGCGCGUGUAGGCGGUCCGAUAAGUCGGAUGUGAAAGCCCGAGGCUCAACCUCGGAAGUGCAUUCGAAACUGUCGGGCUGGAGUACGGGAGAGGGAAGUGGAAUUCCUGGUGUAGAGGUGAAAUUCGUAGAUAUCAGGAGGAACACCGGUGGCGAAGGCGGCUUCCUGGACCGAUACUGACGCUGAGACGCGAAAGCGUGGGGAGCAAACAGGAUUAGAAACCCCAGUAGUCC